Long non-coding RNA from Archocentrus centrarchus (flier cichlid), 207 nucleotides. RefSeq lists it as uncharacterized. The transcript is spliced from 3 exons. NCBI's taxonomy places the organism in Eukaryota, Metazoa, Chordata, Actinopteri, Cichliformes, Cichlidae. The record is from RefSeq and is a predicted model, not a curated record.
GCGGGAUUAACUAGUUUGGAUAUAAUGCCUUUUCAGACAACAGAAAAUACAGAUAUCUGUGACAAUGCUCUUUAAAGUCCAAUAUGCAGGAAAGAAACGCUACAUCAAACUCAAUGGAGCGUCAUAUUCAACAUUUUUGAGACAAGCCAAAGAGAAGUUUGACAUCCUUGAAGAAACAAAUGUAUAUCUUGUGGAUGAAACUGGGAC